Molecule: ribosomal RNA, 268 nt
Filed under: uncultured bacterium
Lineage: Bacteria
Description: partial 16S ribosomal RNA
Rfam family: Bacterial small subunit ribosomal RNA
Source: RNAcentral
GACGAACGCUGGCGGCGUGCUUAACACAUGCAAGUCGAGCGGUAAGGCCCUUUCGGGGGUACACGAGCGGCGAACGGGUGAGUAACACGUGGGUGACCUGCCCUCAGCUCUGGGAUAAGCCUGGGAAACCGGGUCUAAUACCGGAUAUGACUCCAUGACGCAUGUUGUGGGGUGGAAAGCCUUGUGCGGCUGAGGAUGGGCCCGCGGCUUAUCAGCUUGUUGGUGGGGUGAUGGCCUACCAAGGCGACGACGGGUAGCCGGCCUGAGA